GGCGAGAUGGCCGAGCGGUCUAAGGCGCCAGACUAAGGAAGUUACCAAACUUACGUAAUCUGGUCCUCACGGGCGUGGGUUCGAAUCCCACUCUCGUCA
RNAcentral lists this transfer RNA (99 nucleotides) under Dichomitus squalens. It matches the Rfam family "tRNA". From Rfam's summary of the family: Transfer RNA (tRNA) molecules are approximately 80 nucleotides in length. The record is from Rfam by way of RNAcentral. Lineage: Eukaryota; Fungi; Basidiomycota; Agaricomycetes; Polyporales; Polyporaceae.